This is a long non-coding RNA of Vidua chalybeata, 246 nucleotides long. RefSeq lists it as uncharacterized. Lineage: Eukaryota; Metazoa; Chordata; Aves; Passeriformes; Viduidae. The transcript is spliced from 2 exons. The record is from RefSeq and is a predicted model, not a curated record.
ACUCUUUGCUGGAGAAUGACUGAAAUCAGUACCAGUUAGAAGGGAGAAGGAAUGCAAAAGAAAUUGAAUUUAAAGCUGAACAUGACAGAGUGGAGGAAGGAAAAGGCAACAGACAGCAACCAGGGAGAACUUAAAGCACCUGCUGGGACAACCGAGGAGCUGCCCUGUACUCCUGAUGUGAGAUGAAGUCAAGGAAAUAAAUUUUGUCCCCAGAAAGGCGUGAAAAAUAAAGGGAAUUACAGCCUA